This 384-nucleotide ribosomal RNA is filed under the name Pedobacter sp. Lepo50a. RNAcentral's name for it is "bacterial SSU rRNA". It matches the Rfam family "Bacterial small subunit ribosomal RNA", at positions 640 to 1029 of the family's 1533-position model. The record is from RNAcentral. Lineage: Bacteria; Pseudomonadati; Bacteroidota; Sphingobacteriia; Sphingobacteriales; Sphingobacteriaceae.
GCUAGAAUUGAGUAGAGGUAGGAGGAAUGUGACAAGUAGCGAAGAAAUGCAUAUUUAUGUCACAGAACACUGAUUGAGAAGGCAGCUUGGUAUGGUUUUAUUGACGAUGAGGCAAGAAAGCGUGAGGAUCAAACAGGAUUUGAUACCCUGGUAGUCCACGCCAUAAAUGAUGAAUACUCGUUGUUGGCGUUACACAGUCAGCGGGUAAGCGAAAGCGUUAAGUUUUCCACCUGGGGAGUACGCCCGCAAGGGUAAACUCAAAGGAAUUGACGGGGGCCCGCACAAGCGGAGGAGCAUGUGGUUUAAUUCGAUGAUACGCGAGGAACCUUACCCGGGCUUGAAAGUUAGUGAAUGUACCAGAGAUGGUACAGUGAGCAAUCACAU